Equus caballus (horse) is the source of this 2970-nucleotide non-coding RNA. Lineage: Eukaryota; Metazoa; Chordata; Mammalia; Perissodactyla; Equidae. The record is from RefSeq and is a predicted model, not a curated record.
ACAGUUUGAAAGAAAGGAGUGAGGGAGGGGAAAGAUAACACACGUUGGACCUUUCUGUAGUCACAGAAAGCAUAUAGCUACUGAGAGGAGAAGCAAUGGGCAGAACUUACACAUUUGGCCUUGCUUAGAACUGGAGCUGGCUUGGGAGAUAACCAGGAUCUGUAAACUCUAGAGAUUUUGUGUUUCUUUUUUCAAGUUCAGGGUUACUUCUUCCUCCCUUCUGGGCCCUUUUGUAUACAGAAGCUUUUACUUCCUUGACAGAAUAAAACAUCAGCUGUGCUUAAAAGUGUCUUUCCACUCAGGGAACACAGCCUUCCUACUGACUCUGUAAGGUGCUUUCUUUCCCCGGGGAAAUCACCCUUGGCUGCAAGUCCGCAGGCCUCUGGAAGGUGUAAUUUGCUAAAGAAGUUCAGAUAAAUACAUCACCCAGAGCAGAACCGCAGCCAAGGCUGGAAGGAGUCCUUUGUGUUCAGGACUUCGUCUGCUCAAGAGCCCUCCUUCUCCCAAGUGGCAUCUUCAGGGGCAGAAACAGGAAAAUCCCAACAAUAGGAGGAAUGCAGAGCUUUGCCCAGCAUUUGUAGUCGGCACUUGUGUAAAGAGAGAAUCUUUUUACGUUGCUAUUCAGCAGCUGAGGGGGAGGGAAAGGCCUGCCCUUCUGAACCUGGCUCCGGUUCCUCCCUGAUCUGCUCCGCCCAGCUCCAGGCAUGAAGGGGGAGACAGGUGGGCAGGGCCUGGGCCCUAGGGGCAACCCUGGCAGCUUGAGUCAGCUCCCUCCUCUGAUGUCCUCCUCUGAUGUCCAGUUACUCUAAGGAGAGUGUUUUUGAGGGCCUACUCUGUGCAGGUACUAUGCUGGGUACUGGAGUACAAGCACGCGGAGGACUCAGUCCCUGCCCUUGAGAAACCACAGGAUGGUGGAGGAGACAGAUAAUCAGUGCCUUCUGCACAGAGUGCAGAAUUGGAACACUCUGUCUUGGCAAGUCAUGCCUCCUUGGAGAGCGUUCAGAAGGAGCUGCCCUUUCUGGCCCGGAGCAAACCGAACCUCAGAAGACCUGGAACACUCCUUCAUUCGGCUGACUGCUGCUGCCUCAGCAUCAUCCCUGUGGAAGCCUGCUUCACGUACCGAUGAGGUCGCCCUCCUGUCUGCAUCCCUGAGAGUCAUGGUUACGAUUCUGCACUGGGGGCUUCUUCCCCCACUAGCCUGACACUGUGCUCAGAGAGCUUGUCGCUUGCCCAGUAUCUCACAACAAGGACUCAAACGGAGCUCCCGCUGGCUCCCACCUCCCGGCCUCUGCUCCCUGACACUGGGGAUCCACGACCCCACACCCUCCCAUCUCCUUCCCGGCUCAUCUCCUUCCCAGCUCGUUUCCUCCGGAUGAUAAGAGCUGGGUGGUAAUAUUACAUACUCUUCCUUUCCAAUUGCAACUCUUCAUUGCUUUUGGCAGCAAAAGCUCUGCUCAGGGUCAAGAUGAGAGAGUGACUGGUACUAGCCAAAGAAAAUUGAGAUGGAUUCUUACAGCGCAUUGAAUGAGGGCCCCCCAAAUAUAUGUCUGCAUCCUGAUCCCCAGAAUCUGUGCAUGUUACUUGAUCUGGAAAAAGGGUCUUUGCAGACAUAAUUCAAUUAAGAAUCUUGAGAUGACAUCUCCCUGGAUUAUCCAGUGGGCUUUAAAUUAGAUGACCUGUGUCCUUAUUAUUAGAAGGGCAGAGAGAGGUUUGAAACAGACAGAAGAGAAGACGAUGCUGAGAGGAGAAGGCGGUGUGAAGACAGAGGCAGAGAUUGGACUGAUGUGGUUACAAACCAAGGAGUGUCGGCAGCCACUAGAAAGGAAGAGAGAGUCAUGGAGUGGAUUCCCUCCCAGAGCCUCGGAAGGAAGUGUGGCCCCACUGACAGCACGAUUGUGGACUUCUGCCUCCAGAACUUGAGAGAGUACAUUUCUAUUGUUUUAACUCAUCCAGUUGGCGGUAAUUUGUUACAGCAGCCCUAUGAAAGUAAUAGAAUUCUCAAAUGCUAUCUGCUCACAAAUUUCAACGUGAAAGAUAUAAACACCCAAACCUCAGUCCAGAUUCCAAUGGUGAGAAGCCCCCAUGGAAGCCUCGACAGCCCCUUUGGACUCAGCAGUCCCGCGGAGUAUUUCCCCAGGGUUUCCUGACGCCCCUGCCUCCUCCCUCAGAGCUUUGACCCUGCCACUCUAUUGCGGGUCCUGUGUAACCUUCCCCAGAAAUACACUUGGCUGAGCCCCACACCGCAGCUCUUAGGAUGUUUAGGACUAUUUUUCACCUACCCAAGUUCCAGGGUUCUAGGGCGUAGGAAAGUAUUAAAAUGUGCCUGAAAACCUUAUAACGAGGAUCUGUCAAUUCUGGGUCUGGGAGUGUAGGCCUGUCUUUGCAGCACCAGGCUUGUACCACAGUGUGGUCAACAUUAAGGACUAGAUACUGCGUGCUGAGUGGUUAAAUCUCGCAUAUAUUCCUACCAGACUUGCCCGGGCGAACAGGGCACAGGAGGAAAUUGUAUUCUCAUUUCCUCCACAUCUCCUUCAAAAGCUUCCACACCCCUAAGCCCUCAGGGCUUCUGUGCUGGUCCAAUCUUCUCUCUGCAGGGCCCAUUCUGCUCCUCCUCUCCCCCUACCCACAAAAUGAACCUGUCCCAGGCCCGUUGGUCCAGGCCUUUCUCCAAUGUUAAGGGACAAUUAUCAUUAGUGCAUUAAUGAGGUCAGCUCAGGAGUUUGACAAAUUUCUCAUGAUGGAAACCAGAUGGAGGAAGGUGGGUUGCGCGGUGUACCCGUGGGCGGAUUCAUAGUUGGCUGAAGGCAUUCACUCUGAAAAAAAUCCCUGGCCUUCUGAAGCCGGGUUUCUUGCUCUUGGGCCAAUCCUAGUCAACAUUUUAAUCAAUGAUUUGAAUAAAGUCAAAGAGGAAAGCUUAUCUAAUUUGCAAAUGACUAAACUCUGAGCAAUGUAGAAAACAUAUUUGUGCAC